This 565-nucleotide long non-coding RNA is filed under the name Vulpes vulpes (red fox). RNAcentral describes it as "lncRNA (ENSVVUG00000024106.1)". The record is from RNAcentral. Lineage: Eukaryota; Metazoa; Chordata; Mammalia; Carnivora; Canidae.
CCUGGCCCUCCCGACAGCACCAGAAACGCCGCUCCGUUUACCCACAUUGCCCCUAUUUAAAAACAAAACAAAAAGCCCCACUCCACCAUCAGCCCUUCAGCAUCCAAGACACCAGGGAAGGACAGACAGUGGUGGGAGGACGCUCCAUAUGCCAGCGGUGUGAGCACUUCACAUAUUGCCCUUCGUUUUACUGAAGAUGAAGAGGGGCAGAAACUCCAAGCACACAAAAUGGAACUAGAAACGGACCCCACCUUGAAGACAUGUACAACCAGUUUAUUACACCCUCAGCUCUGAAUCACACUGUUGUCCUGGGCACGGCUCAAAUCCAACUCUACAGGGAGAACCUUGAGGUAUGGGAUGGUAUCUCCUCUGGCCACCAAGAGGAUCUGUAUGGCUUUGAGAACUCAGCUGGCAUUUAAAUGCUUCUGAGGGUUAGCCGGUAAGCCAACACGUUUUAAUUUGCUGUGGUCACUGUAGAUAAGCAUGAUAGAAUAUACUGAUUUUCAAAAAUUCGGGCAGCCCCGGUGGCACAGCGGUUUAGCGCCGCCUGCAGCCCGGGGUGUGA